This 373-nucleotide ribosomal RNA is filed under the name uncultured Glomeromycotina. Its description in RNAcentral is "LSU rRNA". Lineage: Eukaryota; Fungi; Glomeromycota. The record is from RNAcentral.
UUGAAAGGGAAACGAUUGAAGUCAGUCGUACCUGUGGGUAAUCAGCCUUUUGGGUGUGAUUUUGUGGAGUGUGAGGAGUUAAACGCCUUCAUGCCUGCAUAUUCGUGCACUUUGGGUGUAUUUACCCGUGUGGUAAGUUAACAUCAAUUUCGGUGGUCAUAAAAUGGCUGGAGGAAUGUAGCUUCGAUCUCGUAUUGAAGUGUUAUAGCCUUCGGUAGAUGUGAUAAUCGGGAUUGAGGAUUGCAACGGAUACCCUUCGGGGCUACCUGUCUGAUCUCUGAUCGUUGCUCUGGUGCCGAAAGCUUGCUUACGGUUAUCAAAGUCGAUGGUCAAUAGGUUAGAACGGGUUAAAUUCGUUAAGGAUGUUGACGUA